Diceros bicornis minor is the source of this 109-nucleotide small nuclear RNA. The record is from RefSeq and is a predicted model, not a curated record. Lineage: Eukaryota; Metazoa; Chordata; Mammalia; Perissodactyla; Rhinocerotidae.
GUGCUUGCUUCUGCAGCAUAUAUACUAAAAAAUUAGAAUGAUACAGAGGAGAUAAGCAUGGCCCCUGUGCAAGGAUGACAUGCAAAUUCGUGAAGCGUUCCAUAUUUUU